GACGAACGCUGGCGGCGUGCUUAACACAUGCAAGUCGAACGGAAAGGCCUGCUUUCCCUUGUGGAUUGCGGGUGCUCGAGUGGCGAACGGGUGAGUAACACGUGAGUGAUCUGCCCCCAACUUGGGUAUAAGCCUGGGAAACUGGGUCUAAUUCCCGAUAGGACUGCAGGGUGGUGCCUGUGGUGGAAAACGAUUUUCUAGUGGUUGGGGAUGAGCUCGCGGCCUAUCAGCUUGUUGGUGGGGUAAUGGCCUACCAAGGCGGCGACGGGUAGCCGGCCUGAGAGGGUGGACGGCCACAUUGGGACUGAGAUACGGCCCAGACUCCUACGGGAGGCAGGAGUGGGGAAUAUUGGACAAUGGGCGGAAGCCUGAUGCAGCGACGCCGCGUGGGGGAUGACGGCCUUCGGGUUGUAAACUCCUUUCGACCGCGAGGAAGCCACCUGGUUGGAAGGGUGGUGACGGUAGUGGUAGAAGAAGCACCGGCUAACUACGUG
This 494-nucleotide ribosomal RNA is filed under the name uncultured bacterium. Its description in RNAcentral is "partial 16S ribosomal RNA". It matches the Rfam family "Bacterial small subunit ribosomal RNA", at positions 28 to 507 of the family's 1533-position model. The record is from RNAcentral.